AGUGAACGCUGGCGGUAGGCCUAACACAUGCAAGUCGAACGGCAGCACAGUAAGAGCUUGCUCUUACGGGUGGCGAGUGGCGGACGGGUGAGGAAUACAUCGGAAUCUACUUUUUCGUGGGGGAUAACGUAGGGAAACUUACGCUAAUACCGCAUACGACCUACGGGUGAAAGCAGGGGAUCUUCGGACCUUGCGCGAUUGAAUGAGCCGAUGUCGGAUUAGCUAGUUGGCGGGGUAAAGGCCCACCAAGGCGACGAUCCGUAGCUGGUCUGAGAGGAUGAUCAGCCACACUGGAACUGAGACACGGUCCAGACUCCUACGGGAGGCAGCAGUGGGGAAUAUUGGACAAUGGGCGCAAGCCUGAUCCAGCCACACCGCGUGGGUGAAGAAGGCCUUCGGGUUGUAAAGCCCUUUUGUUGGGGAAGAAAAGCAGCAGGUUAAUACCCCGCUGUUCUGACGGUACCCAAAGAAUAAGCACCGGCUAACUUCGUG
This 492-nucleotide ribosomal RNA is filed under the name uncultured bacterium. Its description in RNAcentral is "partial 16S ribosomal RNA". It matches the Rfam family "Bacterial small subunit ribosomal RNA", at positions 29 to 507 of the family's 1533-position model. The record is from RNAcentral.